GAUGAACGCUGGCGGCGUGCCUAAUACAUGCAAGUCGAGCGAACGGACGAGAAGCUUGCUUUUCUGAUGUUAGCGGCGGACGGGUGAGUAACACGUGGAUAACCUACCUAUAAGACUGGGAUAACUUCGGGAAACCGGAGCUAAUACCGGAUAAUAUUUUGAACCGCAUGGUUCAAAAGUGAAAGACGGUCUUGCUGUCACUUAUAGAUGGAUCCGCGCUGCAUUAGCUAGUUGGUAAGGUAACGGCUUACCAAGGCAACGAUGCAUAGCCGACCUGAGAGGGUGAUCGGCCACACUGGAACUGAGACACGGUCCAGACUCCUACGGGAGGCAGCAGUAGGGAAUCUUCCGCAAUGGGCGAAAGCCUGACGGAGCAACGCCGCGUGAGUGAUGAAGGUCUUCGGAGCGUAAAACUCUGUUAUUAGGGAAGAACAUAUGUAUAAGUAACUGUGCACAUCUUGACGGUACCUAAUCAGAAAGCCACGGCUAACUACGUG
This 497-nucleotide ribosomal RNA is filed under the name uncultured bacterium. RNAcentral's name for it is "partial 16S ribosomal RNA". It matches the Rfam family "Bacterial small subunit ribosomal RNA", at positions 28 to 507 of the family's 1533-position model. The record is from RNAcentral.